RNAcentral lists this ribosomal RNA (497 nucleotides) under uncultured bacterium. RNAcentral's name for it is "partial 16S ribosomal RNA". It matches the Rfam family "Bacterial small subunit ribosomal RNA", at positions 28 to 507 of the family's 1533-position model. The record is from RNAcentral.
GAUGAACGCUGGCGGCGUGCCUAACACAUGCAAGUCGAGCGGACAGACGAGGAGCUUGCUCGGCUCACGUUAGCGGCACACGGGAGAGUAACACGUGGAUAACCGACCUGUAAAAGUGGUAUAACCUCGGGACUGAGGAUCUAAUACCGUAGAAUCUAUUGAACCGCAUGGUUGAUUAGUGAAAGACGGCUUUGCUGGCACUCAUAGAUGGAUCCGCGCCGCCUGAGCUAGUGGGUACGGUAACGGCUUACCAAGGCGACGAUGCGUAGCCGACCUGAGAGGCUGAUCGCCCACACUGGAUCUGAGACACGGUCCCGACUCCUACGGGAGGCCCCAGUCGGGCACCUUCCGCAAUGGGCGCCAGCCUGACGCAGCGCCCCCGCGUCAGUGAUGAAGGCCUUCGGUUCGUAAAGCUCUUUUAUGAGGGACAAACAACUGUGUCAGUCACCAUGCACGUCUUGACGGUACCUAGUAAAGAAGCAACGGCUAACUACGUG